UUAACUUCCCGAUUUAUUUGCGCUUUAUAUCAAUGUGUCGCUCGCAAACGGCGCAGUUACAUUCUAGCAUUUGAUGCAAUAAACAGUGCUGUUGUUGAAAGGAACAAUACUCAUUUGUUUUUAAAAAGGAAAGUAAAAGAACAUUGCAAGAUGAAGUUUACAGCGAUGUUAGUCGUGCUUAUGCUGGCAAGUUUACAGUAUGCAUCGUGUGAGGCAACCACUACCGGCGCCACAAUGACUAACCAAACGGGAGCAUCUACAGCCAAAAGUGGAGCCACGUGUGUUGACGUCAGCAUAUUUGCUGCCGUCUUCUUAGCCACGAUCUACGCCAUCACAGCUACCUUGGCCUAAGAAUUGGUUUCCUGUCAGUCAUUCAAUGCUGUUAAUUCAAAUUACUGUAUGUCAGUAGCAAUUGGUCUCGUGAAUAAUUUCACUCUGUUUUUUACGUGUCACAUUGAUAAAAAUUCUUAAAAAGUGUGUUCAACAAAAGUUAUCUGUUUGUUUUUUUAAAGAAAUUUAAACGUGUAUUUAAGAAAUAAAAAAAUAGCAUUGUCAAAAUUUGUAUAACACGUAGUACCACUUAAAGCAAACGAAAAUAAACGUUACCAUUGUAUUCAAUGUAAGCCUCUUAUUUCUUUCUAUUGCAUAGUCGCUCUUUAACCUUCUUUCAUUUUCUUAAACAUGUUCACGUAUAUGACGAAGGAUGAAUUAGAAUAUUCUCCUCUGAAACUGAUGUUGAUUUAACAUAUAUUACGUGGGAAUGUACCCUGUACUGUUAAUAAUAGUCCUUUCUAGACACUCAGAAGACAUGUUUUAAUAAAAAAGGUACACUCGUAUAA
Dreissena polymorpha is the source of this 839-nucleotide long non-coding RNA. RefSeq lists it as uncharacterized. The transcript has 4 exons. The record is from RefSeq and is a predicted model, not a curated record. NCBI's taxonomy places the organism in Eukaryota, Metazoa, Mollusca, Bivalvia, Myida, Dreissenidae.